RNAcentral lists this small RNA (5711 nucleotides) under Olea europaea subsp. europaea. Lineage: Eukaryota; Viridiplantae; Streptophyta; Magnoliopsida; Lamiales; Oleaceae. The record is from RNAcentral.
UGUGGUCAGCAACAAUUGUUGCACACGCCUAGGCUGAAAUUCGUGUGUAGAAAUAUUUACAUGUCAAAAGUAGUCAAAUAGUUUCAACUAUAUAUUUGAGGCUAUAUAUUUUGCUCAAAAGGAAAUUUAUUCAAUGGAAAUAAAUUUUUAUAUUAGUAGGUUGUGUGACAAGAGCUUAGAGUAACACCAAGUUACAUGAUAAAAAUUAAAUCCAAUUACGAUUCUAUGGUAAUAGAAGUAAUUGCUCGGUAUAAAACUUCACCAGAUGGACAUAAGAAUGGUGUUUUUUUUGGACCUGUAUGACAUGGGAUUCGUUAACCUUAAAACUAAUUUUAGCUUUCUAUGAUACUUAAAAGAUGACGCGGUUAAAUUUUGUAAUAAAAUGAUUGACUUACUUUUUUUAGUAAUUCAUUAUUACUCAAAUUCAACGUAAUCAAUCAUGACUAAUAACGCGUCAUACAAUUGCAUAUGACAUAAUUUACUUUGCACCUUUAAGGUGAAUCAAUGGAGUGAAGUGCAUGUAAUUCAAUUAGGUCAUUUUUGUUUGUCGUCCAUGGUGAUGGUGGUUACUCGGUGCACACAUUAGUUUCUAAUAUCAAGUUGGAUUUUUAUAAUUUCAAACUAUUAUUUCAUAUUAUUAUUAUUAUUAUUAUUAUUAUUAUUAUUAUUAUUUGAAGUUUUGAAUCCUCUAAAUACCAAAAUAAGGUACAAUAUUUUUAGUAUCUGCAAUUGGAAGGCAGGACUACUCACUAUAAUGCAACAAUAGCUGAAUAGUUACAAGUGUAUGAAAUAUGCAUUAAUUAAUUAAAGAUUUGUUUAUUCAAUUCGGAGCCCCAAAAAUUGCUGUUUGCUUACAAAAUUCCCUUUCCCAUGCAUUGGUUUUUUUUUUAUUUUAUAUUUUUCUUAAAAUUAAUGUUAGAAUAUUAAAUGGUGAUCACAUGGAGAUUGGGGUGCAAGUUUCAAAGAUUGUUGUAUGGAAGGUAUAAACCCUAAGGGGGUGGCUUAACUUUUUGACAAAGUUGGGUCAAUAAUUGAAGCUUCUUUUAUUUAUUAUUAUUAUUUUUGUAAUGACAUAUAUAUUAUUAAGUAAAUUUUACAUGUAAGAAAUUAACUUGGCUAGUAUUUUCUUUAACGUGAUCUAUUGUUGUUACAAAGGAUUUGGCUAAUAGUAUAAAUACGUUCUUAAACAGAUUCAAUCCUCAGAUUUGGUAUACAAUGUGGCCUAACUCAAAUUAUAUUUUUAAACAGGUAGGUAGAAAUCCACAACGAGGGUGAUUGUAGGCCGAAGUCCAGCCCUACACACCCAUUUUGACACAUUAGGAAAUAUAGCGAUGAUCUAGUGAAGAAAUGAUAAAAAGAAGAUAUGUGGUGGAUGUUGAAUUUAUUUAAAAUAAUAUUGGUUAUUGAGUUAUGUAAUUUAAUUGAGCAAGUAUAACCCCAACCUCUAGUUUGUAGCAGGUGUACUUCUGCUUUCGUUGGACUCAAACAAUCAAAUUCUUGUUAGAACCCAAUAUUAGUUAAUACAUUAAAAGAAAAAAAGAAAAUGAAAUGAACGGAUAAAAAAAUAAUAAGAGAAAAGCAAGAAUACAAAAAAGAAUAUCCAUGCAAAAAUUAUGGAAGGGGUUAUGGACUACUUGCUGUAAAUUUAAAGUAGGAAUUUGAGUGCUUCUGAGGAGCUUGAUAAUUACUUGACUUUACUAUUCGAAUAAUGUUCCUUGAACAUGGCAUUUGACAAGGAUUGAUGAUAGGCGUGUGUGGCUGUUUUUCUUUUUUUUCGUUAACUAUUUAAUGAAAAAAUGACACGUGUCCCCUACUUAAAAAUUCUAUUAUUUAACCUAUUCAUAUAGCAUGUUGUUCCUAUUUAACAAAACUAUUUUAAUAUUUAUACGAACUAGAAUCUUUUGAAGAAACCUGAUGGACUUUAGCUUUGUCACUUGUCAACCUUCGAAUCGGGAUGGGACUCAGCAUUUCCAACAGACUUCGUUGCACACGUUGAAGGCACAAAAUCAAAGCCUUUCCAAACAAAAGGCGUGGAGGUCAUGAUUGUAGGCGCUCCGAUGCUCAAGUUAGUGAAAUGAGUUAUAAAGUACAUUGGGUGCAGGAGUGACACGAAAGGAGAAUCUUGUUACACUGAUACCAAUCCCUAUGUUUUUGUUGUCGCAGCCUUUUGUGUACUCAAAUACGCACUCUCAUAAUGGAUUUGUUAUAAAUGUGUUGAGCUAGUAUUUUGAGUGAUCCUUUACUAAGUAAUUGCAAAUGUUGGGCGCGGAAGCUCCAAUAACACACGUUGAUUCCAAACCAGAUUAUAAAGAAUGAGAUUUAAUGAUAAUAUUGAAGUAUACUAGACCACGCCACGAAAACACAAGAUUGAACUUGUAAAUAAAGAACACAAAGGAUAAACGUAGAGGAACGAUGUUUAUUAAUUCAAUAUUAUGGAAAAUACAAGACAGAUUAGCAAAACUGCCUCUAUGUUACUCUCUCUACAAACUGACCAGAGGAGCCUCGUAUUUAUAUGCCAACCCUAGAAGAGUUCUAAAAGACAAGAAAAUAUAUUACAAUUAGGAGAUCCAUUUUCAACAGGAUUUUGUUUCAUUGUUCAACUUAGUUUCCUUAAACCCUAGGUUAAUAUUCUCGAAUUCGCCUCUUCAAAAGGCUCCUAUUUGAGUCAUACUCCUAACAAUCUCCACCUUGAUUCAAAUUUCGGUGCUACGGAUGAAACUUGUAGAUUUCAAAUUCAUCUUCAUCGAAAUUAACAGGCUGAAUCUCCUCAACAUAGUAACCACUCCAUAUAAACCAAACACUCGUCCUCUACACGACAUCCACAAUCAACACCCGAACCCAAUUCCUAGGGUUCCCAAUUCCACCAAGGAAUUAAUGUUGAUCACACAUGGUCGAAACACACCCUGCAGCAAGAACCAAACCAGGUGCUUGAUCAGAAGACUUCUUCUUGGAACCGUAGCCUUCAACGCCCUUAGAAGCAUCCCAAACAUUACUGACACCACAGUACGUACGCUCGGUGAGUCCUACCCUAGCAACUGAACACAGUGUAUUCGCUAAAAUUGGUGGCAAAGCGGAAUCACUAACUCUCUCCCUAACAGUGUUUUGAAUCGACUCAGAGCCCAACACAAGAGGUACUGUAUCAAACUGAAUUUCCACCACGGUACUAAACUUGUCCAAAUGUCUCCUCUUAACUGGUUCUGCACUCCCCUGCAAAAUGUACAACUGGGAUCUUUUCCGUCCGUCCAGUGCAACUCGGACUCCCUUUCGGACUUUCAAGACUCCGUCUGCUCCAGGGAAUUUAUACCCUUUUACAUCCAGGGUACUUAACGAAAUGAGAUUCCUUUUCAGGUCAGGAACAUAUCGAACCUAAUCAAUCGUUCUAAAUGUUCUAUCCCCCAGCCUUAAUCUGACUCAAUCGAUUCCAACAAUACGGCAAGAUUGGUUGUUUCCCAUUACAACUCCACAUUGCUGAACAAUCUCAUAUGUCUGAAAUAAAUUCCUAUCGGAAUACAUAUGGUGCUAACAUGCUGAAUUAAGAAUCCACUCCUCGUCAGGCCUAGACUCCACAUUAGAUACCAUGGUCAACAUCACCUCUUCGCUAACUGAACAAUUCUCAACUACAUUGGCUUCGUCUGAAUUCAAAGGUUGCACCCUACAAUUUAUAGCUAAAUUACCUUUAGCCUGCAACAUAUUGCAAUCCUUCCAAAUAUGUCCCUUCCUUUUGCAGUAGUAACAGGUCACAUUGUUAAAUCUAACUCUCGAUCUGCCUCUUCGUCGACCACCUUGAGAUCCAAGAGCUUCCACAUCCCUUGAUGUAGCUCCAACCAAAUGCUUCAUUUUCUCCUUUGAGUACAAAGUAUCAUAGACAUCUUCUAUAGUCAAAGUAUCUCGACUAUACAAGAUAGUAUCCCAAAACGACACAUAAGAUCCAGGUAGCAAACACAACAAGAUCAAGGCAAGAUUUUCUUCAUCGUACUUAACCUCCAACGUCUCCAGAUCUGCAACUAUUUCGUUGAAUACGGAAACAUUAUCUUCCAAUGACUCUUAUUCCGCUAUGAGAUGUGAAUACAGCUUCUGCUUGAGAGCUAAUUUACUUGUAAGACUUUUAGUUAUACACAACUGUUCCAACUUCAACCACAAAGCAGCCGCCGUUUUCUCCUUCAAGACAUCCUACAAAAUAUUAUUGGACAGAUGAAGAUAAAUCAAUGAAACAACAUUUUUUUCUACUUAGACCAAUGAUAAGUGUUUAUUUUUUAAUUUUGUUUCAAUUAAAAACCACUCAUGGUGGAAUAAUUUAUUAAGAACAAUUUGAAAAAGUAAAAAUUUAUAAAUGAAAUUUUUAAGCUCGUGAAAGAAGAAAUAUGUCAUUGUUAAAGCUUUUUUCCUAUUCAACACUGAUAGAUGCAAGUGACCAUAGGAGAAUGAAUGCAAUAAGAUUUAGAGAAGAAAACUUAGAAAAAAGAAGAGGAAGACAAAUGUUCUAAAAGUGAACCUCAGGACGAUUAAGAGUUUCGAUUGCUGUGACAGGAUUAAAUCCAGGUCCAAUUGGCAUUCAAAUACUAUGUUCAAAAACUUCCUUCGAUGUGUAGAGAUAAGGUAGAGUCUUUGUAUGUAAUUUUCAGCCUAAAAGAACAAAAUAAAUCCAUGUAAAGCAAAACAUGAACUACGAUACAUAUGAAAAGUGUACAAAUGCAUGAUUUCCUUGAAUAAACAUUGGAACAUGUAUAAUAAGUGUGACUUGGGAAUGCAAGCCCUCACUCCAUUUUCAUGAAGAAGCCACUAAAGCCUACUCAUCUACUUGAGUAAGAGCACUGACCAAGAACGAUAAUCCUAUCAAUUCAUUACAACAUAGUUUACUUUUUACGGCGUGAAUUGUACGCUAUAAAAAGUUCUUUAUGGCGUAUAGGUGCAUGCCGUAUAAAGCCAUACCGUAAAUGCUCUUUAUUAUUUAUUUUGACAAUUUCUAAGGAAGAUGGUUCUUCACAGCCCCAAAAAUUGAUCAGAUCAGCCGCCACUUUGUUCUCUAUUAUAAUCAAACUCGUCUAGUAUGAAAAAGGCACAGGAAACAUAGUAAUUGUACUAGUUUUUCUCUGGUAUAUAUCACCAUUUGUGCUAGUUAAGUUUUCCUCGCAACUGUUGUCUUUUAUAUCACAUAAUGAUGUAUUGUUCAAUUCAGAAUGUGAACAAGAUUGUACAUUUUCUCUUUUCAAACCUUCAACUAGAAAAAUAUCAUGCUAGGAGAAAGGAAAUGAGGAUAGAAAAUGUUUUUUUCCCCCUUAUGUCAACAGGUUCACACAAGCAUCUAAUAAUUCAAUGAGAUAUAACUUGCCUUGGUAAGGAAGAAGAUGUCGAGGAACAAGCACGUUUGGAGACAGUUCACCUGAGAAUUAUAUGUUGCAUUUGAGAUAAAACGGUAGAAAAUCAAGGUAAGAAGAGAAAUAUAAAUAUCACUGUUAUUGAUUGAGCUAGAACAAAAACAUUGUCUAGAAGUCAAUAUUCUAUUGAUUUUUGUUGGGUUUUGAUACCAAAUAAAUCCGGAAGAUGAUUUAAAACAGUUGUCGGAUAAUUUUUCGACACCAUGGACUUGGCUCGACUUGAAUACGACCGACACUUUUGGAAGGCCCAAGUUGAAGUUGGAUUGGUGGUUUGAUUAGUGUGUGGCUUUGGAUUAUUGUUGGUCCACUAACUUAGCCCAUUGAGAGAGAGAUAUC